This 279-nucleotide unclassified non-coding RNA is filed under the name plant metagenome. Its description in RNAcentral is "partial contains small subunit ribosomal RNA, internal transcribed spacer 1, and 5.8S ribosomal RNA". The record is from RNAcentral.
UCUCCGUAGGUGAACCAGCGGAGGGAUCAUUACUGUGUAACAAACCUGCGAGGACUGUCGCUAACCCAAAAGGUCGUGCACGCUCGAGUGCCCUCCCACACCUCCCUCUCACCCCUAUGCGCACCACCGCGUGGCUCCCCCUUUGGCUUGUUAGGAGGGGGGCUUACGUUUUAACACAAUCUUAGAAUGCAGUGUUGACUACAUUUUUUGUUUUUGCUAUCACACAAUCGAAACACCUAUCAACAACGGACCGCUUGGCUCUCACAUCUAGUCAGACCC